This is a long non-coding RNA of Ipomoea nil (Japanese morning glory), 1066 nucleotides long. RefSeq lists it as uncharacterized. NCBI's taxonomy places the organism in Eukaryota, Viridiplantae, Streptophyta, Magnoliopsida, Solanales, Convolvulaceae. The record is from RefSeq and is a predicted model, not a curated record. The transcript is spliced from 4 exons.
UGCAUUGCCAGCUGCUCUUUUCCAAUCUCCCUCCUUUAAUAGGCCGCCUUCUUUUCAAUCCUGUUUCUCAAUCCAAGACUCUCAGUCUGCAAAAAGUUUGGGCAUGAAAGAGUGUGGCACAGGUGGUGAACUCUAGCGAAGCUCCGGUCAGAUCUGUCUACUGCCGGCGAGUUCACUCCAAAGACGGAGUCACCAAAAUCAUCAGUUGGAUCGUGCCCAUCACCACGUUUCAGGAUGAAUAACGUCACAGAAACCAAUGAUGAUGAGGCAAAAUGGCCCGAUACGACCGUUGUACAAUUUUUGAGUAGGUGCUAUAGAUGGAACACAUGUCUCAUCUUGGGUACCUGCAUCAAAGCAAAGCACAUUUCGAGGUAGAAAAGGAGGAAUGUUGACCCAAAAUGUCAUGGCGGUUUGCUCGCAUGACAUGAUGUUUACAUUCGUACAUGCGGGUUGGGAAGGAAGUGCGAAUGAUUCUCGCAUAUUCUUAGAUGCAAUUUCAAAGCCUGGAAGUGAUUUUCCUAUGCCACCCGAAGGUUAUUACUACGUUGUUGAUGGUACGUGGUUACCCAAAUGCACCCGGUUUGUUGACACCAUACCGCGGGGAGCGUUAUCACUUGAAUGACUUUCGUGGACAAGGGCGGAUACGAAAUAAGCAAGCCCUAUUUAAUUGUCGAUAUUCAUCAUUGCGGAAUGUGAUUGAGCGGUGUUUUGGACUUUUAAAGGCAAGAUUUCCCAUUCUAAAGUCCAUUAAUGGUUACCCAUCGAUUAGACAAAGACAAAUUCCUCUUGCAUGUUGUGCAUUUAUAAUUUCAUUCGGUUGGAAGAUAGGGAUGAUCAAUUAGGUAUGAUGUAUGGAGCGCAAGACAUGGUUUUGGAUUAUGGUGGAAGUAGUAGUGAUGGUAGAAAUGAUACCAUACAAUUAGAUAUGAAUCAACAAGACCAAAUGCUACAAUUGCGUGAGGACAUUGCAAAUGCACUUUGGGCAAAUUAUAAUCAUUAAUGGUGUACUCAAUUUUAUUUGUAAUAUUUUGUAAUCACAUUUUGUCACGAAACAACUUAUUUUAAA